GCCUCUCUUGGUCUUGCAACAACUUUGGGCUCUCAUAUGCCCGAGUUGCCCCAUAUCAGAUUGGUAUUGUUUGGCCCAUGAAAAACUCUUGCUAGUUUUCUCGGUUUUCAGGCCCAUUGUAGCAAAAAGGAAAUACGUAUGGUUGUUUAGCUUUAUGUUUCUUAGCAAACUAAUGGACAAUUAGUCUUUUAUUAAAAUUACCAGUAGUUUUGGUUGUUGAAUCUCGUGCAAGUUAGGUUGUGGUUGUAUUGGCUGCAAGCGGUGCAAGUUAGGUUGUGGUUGUAUUGGCUGCAAGCGGAACGUAGGCGCUUUAGGUGUGUGUUGACCAUGCACUCUCGCGUCAUGUAAUGUCGUAUGUAUGAUAUUGGUGGUGUGGUAAACCAAUUACUUUUUUGUCUAGUUAUAUUUUUCUUUCCAAUAUUAAAAACAAAAAAAUUCUCAAAUUCGAAUCUUCCCUCACUUAAAGAUUUUAAAAAAAAAAAAAACACAUAGACAUAACUGGAAAAACCAUAGAAAUAAUUAGUGAAAUAUAAUUACAACGAACACAUUCAAAUUUUCAAAAUCUAUAAAGACAUAAGAGAUCCAAGUUCCUACCUAUAAUCACUGCAACCACAAUCUUGACCAAGGGUUUUAAUCCAAAGAAUCUUUGAGAUCUUGAAUAAAGUUAGGUGACAUCUCAACCUUUACGACAAGUGUUCUAUUCUACUUUAUCUCUCCAAUCAUAUGAAGUUCUAAUCUUACUUGAAAUGGUAUAAGAUCAGUCCUUAUCUCUUGGAUUACAGGGGUCCAAGAGAUUUGUGAUCACUUACCGUUGGAUGUAAAUUCAACGAUUC
This 833-nucleotide long non-coding RNA is filed under the name Prunus persica (peach). RNAcentral's name for it is "long non-coding RNA (PPER_LNC008396)". Lineage: Eukaryota; Viridiplantae; Streptophyta; Magnoliopsida; Rosales; Rosaceae. The record is from RNAcentral.